GUUUACAAGUACCGCGAGGGAACGGUGAAAAGCACUCUGAUAAGAGGGUGAAAAGCGUCUAAAACUGUAUAGCGUAAAUCGUAACGAUACACAUCAAACACACACGGACGCGCAGUGGGUAAACCGCUAUUAUACGUGCCGGUGUGAUACUACUAGCCCGAAAGGGUGAUUACAAAAUGGCUUUAUCGCCUAUGAUAUGAGUAAUAUAGUCAGCAAACGUACGAGAAGGAUAGUUGUUAAAGGCCGUCAGUCUUAAUACGGUUGAGGAUUAUGUUGCAAGUAGUUAUGGCAUGCCAUUCAGUAGUGUUAAUAUCGUAUGUGUUGGUUACGUCCCGUCUUGAAACACGGACCAAGGAGUCUAA
RNAcentral lists this ribosomal RNA (362 nucleotides) under uncultured marine eukaryote. RNAcentral describes it as "eukaryotic LSU rRNA". It matches the Rfam family "Eukaryotic large subunit ribosomal RNA", at positions 340 to 678 of the family's 3401-position model. The record is from RNAcentral.